GAGAGAUGAACUGCAAGAACUGCUAAUUCACGCACCUGAAGUUAAAACCCUCAGAUCUCUCA
RNAcentral lists this transfer RNA (62 nucleotides) under Elgaria velazquezi. RNAcentral describes it as "tRNA-Ser". The record is from RNAcentral. Lineage: Eukaryota; Metazoa; Chordata; Lepidosauria; Squamata; Anguidae.